UUCCAUGGCCAUACCACCCUGAAUGCACCCGAUCUCGUCUGAUCUUGGAAGCUAAGUAGGGUCGGGCCUGGGUAGUACUUGAAUGGGAGAAGACAAGAAACCACACGGUAAUUUGAACA
This is a non-coding RNA of Equus caballus (horse), 119 nucleotides long. NCBI's taxonomy places the organism in Eukaryota, Metazoa, Chordata, Mammalia, Perissodactyla, Equidae. The record is from Rfam.